RNAcentral lists this non-coding RNA (29 nucleotides) under Homo sapiens (human). The record is from RNAcentral. Lineage: Eukaryota; Metazoa; Chordata; Mammalia; Primates; Hominidae.
UCAGCAAACAUUAGAGUGCCAUUCAGAGA